RNAcentral lists this unclassified non-coding RNA (391 nucleotides) under soil metagenome. RNAcentral describes it as "partial contains 5.8S ribosomal RNA, internal transcribed spacer 2, and large subunit ribosomal RNA". The stretch from base 1 to 122 matches the Rfam family "5.8S ribosomal RNA", at positions 35 to 154 of the family's 154-position model. The record is from RNAcentral.
GAUGAAGAACGUAGUGAAAUGCGAUACUUGGUGUGAAUUGCAGAAUCCCGUGAACCAUCGAGUCUUUGAACGCGAGUUGCGCCCGAAGCCAUUAGGCCGAGGGCACGCCUGCCUGGGCGUCACACGUCGUUGCCCCCCCAUCUACUCCUUCGGGAUUGCGGGGGGCGGAUGAUGGCCUCCCGUGCGCCUCGUCGCGCGGUUGGCAUAAAUGCCAAGUCCUCGGCGACGCACGCCACGACAAUCGGUGGUUGCGAAACCUCGGUUGCCCGUCGUGUGCGGUCGUCGCGCAUCGAGGGCUCGAAAAAAUUGCCGGGCUCCGGCUCGGCUUUCAACGCGACCCCAGGUCAGGCGGGGUUACCCGCUGAAUUUAAGCAUAUCAAUAAGCGGAGGA